RNAcentral lists this long non-coding RNA (1268 nucleotides) under Linum usitatissimum (flax). Its description in RNAcentral is "long non-coding RNA (LUSI_LNC005201)". Lineage: Eukaryota; Viridiplantae; Streptophyta; Magnoliopsida; Malpighiales; Linaceae. The record is from RNAcentral.
AAUGAGACCACCAGAUAGCAUGGAGCUAAUGGAGAAAAAUGAUGGAAAAAGUUUUAGAGGCUAAUCCACUAAAACUUCUUUUGCUGCCUACGUUGAGGAUGAAUCCGCUAAAGAUUUAAAAGAUUCCUAUCAGCGGCAAAGGCUUUGCCAAGACCUAUACAAGGGAUCGCAGAGAAAGCUAAGAGCUAAGAGGACGAAGACUCACUGAGAAAAGGAAAAGCAGCUCCGAUUGACUGAACAUUGGCAUACCAAGGUGAAAUUAGGGGAGAUGGGCAAAUCAAUCUAUUAAGUUAAGUAGAAAGCCAGAAGCGGAAGGAAAGGAUAUGGCAAAAAGCCCUAAGCAAUAAAUCCAUUAACCAUGGAAACCGCGCUAAAGCUAGCUGAAAACUAUGAUGAACGAAUUAAAGACUCCUUCCUUAUAACCCAAGGCCCUUUCUACUAUUUCUUAGAGGGGAUAUCCUCCCAUGCACAGACUUAUCUAUUUCUUGGUGAACUCUCAUAACAAGACUCAAUUCCCUACCAAACUCAGAGGCGCAAAACUGGAAUAAGUCUAGAGGAAUCACCUUAGGUCCAAAGAAUCUAUAAAGUAAAGCCUACCUGUCCUGCCUUUUAGACCAGCUGUGAUACCUGCCGGUCGAUCCGGUUGACCUGUUUUAGGGAAAAGGAAGACUCCUACGAUUACUUAAACUUCCUCGUUGGGAGAGAGCGAGAAAGCUACAGACUGUAAAUCUAUUGAUGUUUUUCUACUUAUGUUCCCGGGGCUUAGAUCUUCCGUGACGGUCAGGAGAAAUGUAACCAAAUCAAUCACAUCCAAAAGCAGGUAUGCAAGAAGCUUUUAUCAAGAAAUCGCACAAAGAGUCGUUCACGCCUGCCACUCUGGACUAUGCCCUUAUCAGGGCUCCUCUCUAUCCUUCCAUCCAUAAAGACAUGUAAUAUAAUCUCCGACUGAGCUAGAAAGUGAGCAACUCAUCUUUCGAGAGGGAGGCCGACUACCAAUCAUCAAUAGGCUAAUAAGAGACAUAACAGCAAUAAGUCGCGGGUAGCUUUUACAGUAGGCUGUAGCUACUCAUUGGUCUUAUUUUGACUAGGCUUCGGUAGGGAAAGAAAGAAUUUCUUAGUAGAUGGCAGGCAUAUUGAUCUCGGCCAUAAGGGAUCAAAGGGCGUCCAUAGCUCCUGUGACGCGGGUGACGGCCUGACCUAUUGCUUAAACUAAGAACUGGCAACCAAACUGAGGGACGAAAGUAAGGAAAGAAAUAAGAAGUGCUCGA